GGAGUUAAUUUUGGAGCUUGCUUUUGAAUUACUUAGGGCGGACGGGUGAGUAACGCGUGGGUAAACCUGCCUCAUACAGGGGGAUAACAGUUAGAAAUGACUGCUAAUACCGCAUAAGACCACAGCACCGCAUGGUGCGAGGGGUAAAAACUCCGGUGGUAUGAGAUGGACCCGCGUCUGAUUAGCUAGUUGGUAAGGUAACGGCUUACCAAGGCAACGAUCAGUAGCCGACCUGAGAGGGUGACCGGCCACAUUGGGACUGAGACACGGCCCAAACUCCUACGGGAGGCAGCAGUGGGGAAUAUUGCACAAUGGGGGAAACCCUGAUGCAGCGACGCCGCGUGAGCGAAGAAGUAUUUCGGUAUGUAAAGCUCUAUCAGCAGGGAAGAAACUGACGGUACCUGACUAAGAAGCACCGGCUAAAUACGUGCC
Molecule: ribosomal RNA, 432 nt
Filed under: uncultured chicken cecal bacterium
Lineage: Bacteria
Description: bacterial SSU rRNA
Rfam family: Bacterial small subunit ribosomal RNA
Source: RNAcentral